RNAcentral lists this non-coding RNA (86 nucleotides) under Pseudomonas tolaasii NCPPB 2192. The record is from RNAcentral. Lineage: Bacteria; Pseudomonadati; Pseudomonadota; Gammaproteobacteria; Pseudomonadales; Pseudomonadaceae.
UGUGGGAGCUGGCUUGCCUGCGAUGCAAGCAACGCGGUCUUUGCGGAUACCGCGGCGAGGCUAUCGCUGGCAAGCCAGUUCCCAUA